GAUGAAGAACGUAGCGAAGUGCGAUAAGUAGUGUGAAUUGCAGAAUUCCGUGGAUCAUCGAAUUUUUGAACGCAAAUUGCACUCUCUGGUAUUCCGGAGAGUAUGCCUGUUUGAGGGUCAUUAAAAUCAAAAUCGAUUUGUUUACUUUGGUAACUUGGUAACAUUUUCGGAAUUGGGUCAUCUUAAACCUUCAGGUUCAAGAGGCUUAAAAUUGAUCAUUUUUUGGUAUGAAUUAAGCGUAUUUAAGAUCACUUAUCACGCGCUUGACUCCUAUCGGAUGUUUAUUAGGCGUGACCAUGAUCAUGGUUUCGCGCCCAUAAUCUUUCCAUGAAAUGACCUCAAAUCAGGUAGGAAUACCCGCUGAACUUAAGCAUAUCAAUAAGCGGAGGA
RNAcentral lists this unclassified non-coding RNA (390 nucleotides) under soil metagenome. RNAcentral describes it as "partial contains 5.8S ribosomal RNA, internal transcribed spacer 2, and large subunit ribosomal RNA". The stretch from base 1 to 120 matches the Rfam family "5.8S ribosomal RNA", at positions 35 to 154 of the family's 154-position model. The record is from RNAcentral.